Molecule: ribosomal RNA, 363 nt
Filed under: Triticum aestivum (bread wheat)
Lineage: Eukaryota; Viridiplantae; Streptophyta; Magnoliopsida; Poales; Poaceae
Description: partial small subunit ribosomal RNA
Source: RNAcentral
GACAACAUCCAAUCCCUGAACUUAGAGUCAGACAGUGGACCAGGAUUAGCGGGUAACACCCCGGAACCGGAACUUCCAAAAUUGGAAAUUCCUCGGCCCCUGGAUCCCAGAUCGAGUAGGGGUUUGGAUUCAAUUCCACCCACCCACCCAAACACAAGCGAUCUUUCCCAUAUCAGGCAAGAGCCCCAGGAAACAAUACAUCAUUACUGGGCCAGAUUCCUCCUUGCGAUGAACAAGGUUAAGGACUGUCGCAAGGAAGACGCAAUCUUAUUUUUCUGCAAUAAUUGCACGGACAAGGGAAUCCUUAACACCAUAAAUCCCCGUGAGAUAACACGCUUCGCUAACUUGGCAUCCAUAGUAUGA